Molecule: unclassified non-coding RNA, 220 nt
Filed under: Quercus chrysolepis
Lineage: Eukaryota; Viridiplantae; Streptophyta; Magnoliopsida; Fagales; Fagaceae
Description: partial internal transcrobed spacer 1
Source: RNAcentral
UCGAAACCUGCACAGCAGAACGACCCGCGAAUUGGUUACAACCGACGGGGGGUGGGGGGCGCUCGUCGCCCCCUCGCCCUCCCUGCGGGCGGGGACCUUGCGUCUCCUGCUCGCAAACCGAACCCCGGCGCGGAACGCGCCAAGGAAAUCGAACCAAGAGAGCCAUGUCGGRGGCCCCGGACACGGUGCGCCCCCGGCGUCGGCGUCUUAUGAAUUAUUC